This 254-nucleotide ribosomal RNA is filed under the name uncultured bacterium. Its description in RNAcentral is "partial 16S ribosomal RNA". It matches the Rfam family "Bacterial small subunit ribosomal RNA", at positions 333 to 604 of the family's 1533-position model. The record is from RNAcentral.
GUCGUCCUACGGGGGGCAGCAGUGGGGAAUAUUGCACAAUGGGGGAAACCCUGAUGCAGCGACGCCGCGUGAGUGAGGAAGCAUUUCGGUAUGUAAAGCUCUAUCAGCAGGGAAGAAAAUGACGGUACCUGACUAAGAAGCCCCGGCUAACUACGUGCCAGCAGCCGCGGUAAUACGUAGGGGGCAAGCGUUAUCCGGAUUUACUGGGUGUCAAGGGAGCGUAGACGGAAUAGCAAGUCUGAUGUGAAAACCCG